CGGGGUGCACAGGCGCGAAAACUUUACAAUGCCGGCAACGGCGAUAAGGGAACCUCGAGUGCCAGGUUACAAAUCUGGCUGUCGUGAUGCCUAAAAAGCAUUGCAUAGCAAGGGCCGGGCAAGACCGGUGCCAGCCGCCGCGGUAACACCGGCGGCUCGAGUGGUAACCGUUAUUAUUGGGUCUAAAGGGUCUGUAGCCGGCCGGAUAAGUCUCUUGGGAAAUCUGGCAGCUUAACUGUCAGGCUUUCAGGAGAUACUGUCUGGCUCGAGGCCGGGAGAGGUGAGAGGUACUUCAGGGGUAGGGGUGAAAUCUUGUAAUCCUUGAAGGACCACCAGUGGCGAAGGCGUCUCACCAGAACGGACCUGACGGCAAGGGACGAAAGCUAGGGGCACGAACCGGAUUAGAUACCCGGGUAGUCCUAGCCGUAAACGAUACUCGCUAGGUGUCGGCCACGGUGCGACCGUGGUCGGUGCCGUAGGGAAGCCGUGAAGCGAGCCACCUGGGAAGUACGGCCGCAAGGCUGAAACUUAAAGGAAUUGGCGGGGGAGCACAAGGGCGAAUCGCGG
This 567-nucleotide ribosomal RNA is filed under the name uncultured archaeon. Its description in RNAcentral is "bacterial SSU rRNA". It matches the Rfam family "Archaeal small subunit ribosomal RNA", at positions 326 to 900 of the family's 1478-position model. The record is from RNAcentral.